This 211-nucleotide unclassified non-coding RNA is filed under the name plant metagenome. Its description in RNAcentral is "partial contains small subunit ribosomal RNA, internal transcribed spacer 1, and 5.8S ribosomal RNA". The record is from RNAcentral.
UUUCCGUAGGUGAACCUGCGGAAGGAUCAUUCAUAAUAAAGUGUUUUAUGGCACUUUUUAAAGAUCCAUAUCCACCUUGUGUGCAAUGUUAGAUCUCGUCAAUCUUGGCGAGAUUUUUAUACAUCAACUCAUUCUUUAACUAAUUUGUCUGGAAAAUAUUAUGAAUACUUAAUUCAAAAUACAACUUUCAACAACGGAUCUCUUGGCUCUC